This is a long non-coding RNA of Solanum pennellii, 400 nucleotides long. RefSeq lists it as uncharacterized. NCBI's taxonomy places the organism in Eukaryota, Viridiplantae, Streptophyta, Magnoliopsida, Solanales, Solanaceae. The transcript is spliced from 2 exons. The record is from RefSeq and is a predicted model, not a curated record.
GUUGGGGAAAUGCUCUCUUUAUGGAUCAGCAGCAGUCUGUCUUAAACUUGGAUAUUUGGAGAAGCAUUUUCCAACAUACUCUCACAGAUAAAUGACUUGGGAUUGUCUGAUCUACCUUUCACUGGGAAAUGACUUGAAAGGCUUCCCUGAAAGCCUCCAAUGCUUUUGAGGUUUGAUGUCUAGGACUUCUGACACUGGCUUCCCACUGAAUUUAGGAGAGCAAGGUUGUCGCGGCAUCUGCAAGCCACAAAAAUAGAUAAAGGUGAGAGCCAUUUAUAUCGCAGCAUACAAACUUUAUCUAGUGUCCUUGACAUCUAGUAGGAAGCAAAUCUCUAUCAAUUACAUAUGGUAAUAUCUACUUUUAUCAAUGGAAACAGAAAGUACCUUCUUCAUUUGAUUA